AAUCACUGCUGAUGUGAUUUUCUUGAUUGGCAUUUACAUUAUUUUUCCUGCUUUUGUCAUUAAUAAUUUGCGUUUAUUUUUAUUUUUUACUUAUGUUCUAUUAUGUAUAUUUUUAUUUAUUUAUUAUUUGAGAGACUUGAUGGCUUUGCCACUAGGGAUAGUUGGAUAUUUGUAGUGUGAGAAGGGGGAAGUGUUAUUUUCGGGAUUUUUUUUUUUU
This 217-nucleotide unclassified non-coding RNA is filed under the name Hevea brasiliensis (rubber tree). The record is from RNAcentral. Lineage: Eukaryota; Viridiplantae; Streptophyta; Magnoliopsida; Malpighiales; Euphorbiaceae.